This 321-nucleotide unclassified non-coding RNA is filed under the name Xeromphalina kauffmanii. RNAcentral's name for it is "partial internal transcribed spacer region". The stretch from base 1 to 46 matches the Rfam family "Eukaryotic small subunit ribosomal RNA", at positions 1786 to 1831 of the family's 1831-position model. The record is from RNAcentral. Lineage: Eukaryota; Fungi; Basidiomycota; Agaricomycetes; Agaricales; Mycenaceae.
AAGUCGUAACAAGGUUUCCGUAGGUGAACCUGCGGAAGGAUCAUUAUUGAAUGAAUGGGGGAACUGUUGCUGGCCCGUCAAAGGGCAUGUGCACGCUCCUCAAUUUUCCUUCUCCACCUGUGCACCCUUUGUAGACUUUGGAAGACCUCUCGAGGCAACUCGGAUGGAGGGUCGCUGAUUCACUUUCAGCUUCCCUUGCGCUUCCAGGUCUAUGCAUUCUUAUACACACUUUAAAUGUCUCAGAAUGUCUUUCAUGGCUUGCCGUAAAAAAGCAAAGCUCUAAACUUAAUACAACUUUCAACAACGGAUCUCUUGGCUCUC